Molecule: ribosomal RNA, 252 nt
Filed under: uncultured bacterium
Lineage: Bacteria
Description: partial 16S ribosomal RNA
Rfam family: Bacterial small subunit ribosomal RNA
Source: RNAcentral
UACGUAGGGUGCAAGCGUUAAUCGGAAUUACUGGGCGUAAAGCGUGCGCAGGCGGUGAUGUAAGACAGGUGUGAAAUCCCCGGGCUUAACCUGGGAACUGCAUUUGUGACUGCAUCGCUGGAGUGCGGCAGAGGGGGAUGGAAUUCCGCGUGUAGCAGUGAAAUGCGUAGAUAUGCGGAGGAACACCGAUGGCGAAGGCAAUCCCCUGGGCCGAUACUGACGCUGAGGAGCGAAAGCGUGGGAGCGAACAGG